This 460-nucleotide ribosomal RNA is filed under the name Lomentospora prolificans. RNAcentral's name for it is "Scedosporium prolificans Eukaryotic small subunit ribosomal RNA". It matches the Rfam family "Eukaryotic small subunit ribosomal RNA", at positions 1004 to 1487 of the family's 1831-position model. Lineage: Eukaryota; Fungi; Ascomycota; Sordariomycetes; Microascales; Microascaceae. The record is from Rfam by way of RNAcentral.
ACGAUCAGAUACCGUCGUAGUCUUAACUAUAAACUAUGCCGACUAGGGAUCGGACGAUGUUAUUCUUUGACGCGUUCGGCACCUUUCGAGAAAUCAAAGUGCUUGGGCUCCAGGGGGAGUAUGGUCGCAAGGCUGAAACUUAAAGAAAUUGACGGAAGGGCACCACCAGGGGUGGAACCUGCGGCUUAAUUUGACUCAACACGGGGAAACUCACCAGGUCCAGACACAGUGAGGAUUGACAGAUUGAGGGCUCUUUCUUGAUUCUGUGGGUGGUGGUGCAUGGCCGUUCUUAGUUGGUGGAGUGAUUUGUCUGCUUAAUUGCGAUAACGAACGAGACCUUAACCUGCUAAAUAGCCCGUACUGCUUUGGCAGUUCGCCGGCUUCUUAGAGGGACUAUCGGCUCAAGCCGAUGGAAGUUUGAGGCAAUAACAGGUCUGUGAUGCCCUUAGAUGUCCUGGGC